GCGGGAUUAGUACACCGGUAGUAUGCUACCUUCCCAAGGUAGAGAAAGGGGUUCGAUUCCCCCAUCCCGCU
This 71-nucleotide transfer RNA is filed under the name bacterium. RNAcentral describes it as "tRNA-Gly". It matches the Rfam family "tRNA". From Rfam's summary of the family: Transfer RNA (tRNA) molecules are approximately 80 nucleotides in length. Their secondary structure includes four short double-helical elements and three loops (D, anti-codon, and T loops). The record is from RNAcentral.